Molecule: long non-coding RNA, 866 nt
Filed under: Lathyrus oleraceus (garden pea)
Lineage: Eukaryota; Viridiplantae; Streptophyta; Magnoliopsida; Fabales; Fabaceae
Description: Pisum sativum (pea) long non-coding RNA (PSAT_LNC019711)
Source: RNAcentral
AUUUCAUAAGUUCUUGAAAACUAUUUAAUUGAUGGAUGGAGUAAACGAGCGUUAUAAUUUAUUAACCGAUAACAAAUUGUUACAUGAAAGUUUGAUAUAUGGCAAAAGUUGUCAAAAUUAUUUAUGUUAUGAUUAUAUUUGUUUUCCUAUUUUUUGUGGCAACCAACGUUGAAGGUAAGUCAUCCAUGUCUUUUUAAAUUAUUGUCUUUAAUUUAUACACACUAUUUUAGCCAAAUUAGAUUAUAUUAUUUUUGUUAAACUUUUUCUAAUUUCAGCUGGGAAAUCUAUAAAAUGUUCUAAAGAUAUAGAUUGUCCCAAAAGUAUGUGUAAAAGUCCGAUGAGAGUAAAGUGUUGGUAUAGUUCCUUCUGCAGAUGUUAUAAUGCUGCCACAUAUAAUCCCUGGUGAUUAUAUAUCAAGUACCAUGUAUGAAUCAUGCUGAUUACAUAUUCAAAUUGUUUUGUGUUCUUGGUUCGUCUCUACUAUCGAUGAUGGCUCGGAUGGUCAGAGAUCUAAUCUUAGUUUCCUUUUUGGAGAUUCAGAUGUGUGGCUUUUCUUCUAUUCUUGGUUCUUAUUUGAGAAUGAUUUUUCUAGAUUUUCCGUUUCCUUGUUUUUGGUUUAUUGUUUUGUUAUGUUUUCUCUCUCUUUUAUUAUUAUACUUCUUGUACUAUAUGAUUAGAUGACUCUUGUUUCUAUAUAUGGGUUUUUUAUUGCACACAAACUACAGCUUUAUUUUUGCCAUUAAAAAAUGUAUCAUACCAAAGAGAAAACCAAAAUAGCCUACUUGAAUAUUGUCCUUAUGGCAUUGUAGUUUUAGAUCAUCAACAUACAUUUUUAUAAAAUAAAUUGAUUAGCAUGUUACCUAAUC